This 552-nucleotide ribosomal RNA is filed under the name Triticum aestivum (bread wheat). Its description in RNAcentral is "partial small subunit ribosomal RNA". The record is from RNAcentral. Lineage: Eukaryota; Viridiplantae; Streptophyta; Magnoliopsida; Poales; Poaceae.
AUGAGAAUGGUACAAAUGAUGUCAGUCGGACUGAUAACGAUCCUAGUAAUGAAGAUGACGACAACAACGAUAACGAUUCGUGGUCAUAAUAUGAUAUCUUACCUUCAGAGGAUUUUGCAAAUAAUGAACAUUGGUGCAAACAGUGAAAAAGAAGAUGUGGACGUUAAGAAUGAGCAAAAUAAUCAUGAGGAAUCGUGGGCCGAUAACUUGAGCCAGGAGGGCUCAGAUGGUCUUGAUGGUGGCGACGACGAAGCAGAGAUGGACAUUGAGGAGGCUCAAUACCAACAACAGAAGUUGGAGACACAUUGGAAGGUCAUGGCUAUGUCUUUUUGGCCACAAGGGGAUGCAUACAUAUUCUACAACAAGCAUGCCAAAGAACAUGGGUUCAGCAUCAGGAGAGAGAAGAUGAAACGAGGGAAGGGUGCUUUAGGAAUAAUAUGGUUCAGGCGGUUUGUUUGCUCUAGGGCAGGGAGAAGGCAGAGGAAAAUCAUAACCAUGGAGGGUCGCACCCGUAGGCUUAGACCCGAGACUCGAUGCGAGUGCGGUGCGUAG